GGGGAUUUAGCUCAGUGGUAGAGCGCUUGCCCAGCAAGUGCAAGGCCCUGGGUUCAGUCCCCA
Molecule: transfer RNA, 63 nt
Filed under: Rattus norvegicus (Norway rat)
Lineage: Eukaryota; Metazoa; Chordata; Mammalia; Rodentia; Muridae
Rfam family: tRNA
About the family: Transfer RNA (tRNA) molecules are approximately 80 nucleotides in length. Their secondary structure includes four short double-helical elements and three loops (D, anti-codon, and T loops).
Source: Rfam by way of RNAcentral